CACAUUAACAAUGAGAAGUUUUUAGUCUUCCCUCGGGAGCAGGAGAUCAAGCUUAUACAUCGAUGCCUAUUUUCAAUUGUGUGUUCAUGAAUACGUUUGAGACGCUACAUUAGAAUAAUACGUUUUAGACGUUGCAUUAGAAUUAGGUAUGGUAAAAGUAGAACAAAUCAAAAAACUAAUGUAACAAAUAAAAAUUGUUUUUUUCCUUUUCAAACCUACAUCUUAAAAUCUAGGCCUAGAUCUGGCAUAUAGAUAUUCUGCCCAAAGAUG
Molecule: long non-coding RNA, 270 nt
Filed under: Olea europaea (common olive)
Lineage: Eukaryota; Viridiplantae; Streptophyta; Magnoliopsida; Lamiales; Oleaceae
Description: long non-coding RNA (OEUR_LNC002302)
Source: RNAcentral